This 276-nucleotide ribosomal RNA is filed under the name Actinomycetota bacterium. RNAcentral's name for it is "Actinobacteria bacterium partial 23S ribosomal RNA". It matches the Rfam family "Bacterial large subunit ribosomal RNA", at positions 2650 to 2925 of the family's 2925-position model. Lineage: Bacteria; Bacillati; Actinomycetota. The record is from RNAcentral.
CGCGUAAGAGUCUUGAGAAGGGCUGUCCCUAGUACGAGAGGACCGGGACGGACGAACCUCUGGUGUGCCAGUUGUUCCGCCAGGAGCAUGGCUGGUUGGCUACGUUCGGAAGUGAUAACCGCUGAAAGCAUCUAAGCGGGAAGCAUGCUUCAAGAUGAGGACUCUCACUGAUUUUCAGGUAAGACCCCUAGCUAGACGACUAGGUUGAUAGGCUGGAUGUGGAAGUGCGGUAACGCAUGGAGCUGACCAGUACUAAUAGGUCGAGGACUUGAUUCU